Molecule: ribosomal RNA, 445 nt
Filed under: uncultured bacterium
Lineage: Bacteria
Description: partial 16S ribosomal RNA
Rfam family: Bacterial small subunit ribosomal RNA
Source: RNAcentral
UCCAGACUCCUACGGGAGGCAGCAGUGGGGAAUAUUGCACAAUGGGGGGAACCCUGAUGCAGCGACGCCGCGUGGGUGAAGAAGUCAUUCGUGACGUAAAGCCCUAUCAGCAGGGAAGAAAAUGACGGUACCUGACUAAGAAGCCCCGGCUAACUCCGUGCCAGCAGCCGCGGUAAUACGGAGGAUGCGAGCGUUAUCCGGAUUUAUUGGGUUUAAAGGGUGCGUAGGCGGACGCUUAAGUCAGCGGUAAAAUGGCGGGGCUCAACCUCGUCGAGCCGUUGAAACUGGGUGCCUUGAGUGGGCGAGAAGUACGCGGAAUGCGUGGUGUAGCGGUGAAAUGCAUAGAUAUCACGCAGAACUCCGAUUGCGAAGGCAGCGCACCGGCGCCCUACUGACGCUCAGGCACGAAAGCGUGGGUAUCGAACAGGAUUAGAUACCCCGGUAC